GGUGUCCGUGGUGUACUCGGUUUGUGCACACUUGCCUGUGAAGCAAGAGGUAAGGGUUCAAAUCCCUUCGGUCACCC
Molecule: transfer RNA, 77 nt
Filed under: Planctomycetota bacterium
Lineage: Bacteria; Pseudomonadati; Planctomycetota
Also listed under: 4 other names
Description: tRNA-His
Rfam family: tRNA
About the family: Transfer RNA (tRNA) molecules are approximately 80 nucleotides in length.
Source: RNAcentral